UGGGGGAAGGGGGCCAUAGCUUAGCAGCAGAGCAUCUCCUUUGCAUGCAGAAGGUCCCAGGUUCAAUCCCCGGAAUCUCCCAG
Podarcis lilfordi (Lilford's wall lizard) is the source of this 83-nucleotide non-coding RNA. Lineage: Eukaryota; Metazoa; Chordata; Lepidosauria; Squamata; Lacertidae. The record is from the annotation of a GenBank genome assembly.